This 205-nucleotide ribosomal RNA is filed under the name uncultured bacterium. Its description in RNAcentral is "partial 16S ribosomal RNA". It matches the Rfam family "Bacterial small subunit ribosomal RNA", at positions 568 to 774 of the family's 1533-position model. The record is from RNAcentral.
AGCGCAGGCGGUUUUUUAAGUCUGAUGUGAAAGCCUUCGGCUCAACCGAAGAAGUGCAUCGGAAACUGGGAAACUUGAGUGCAGAAGAGGACAGUGGAACUCCAUGUGUAGCGGUGAAAUGCGUAGAUAUAUGGAAGAACACCAGUGGCGAAGGCGGCUGUCUGGUCUGUAGCUGACGCUGAGGCUCAAAGUAUGGUAGCAAACA